This 316-nucleotide unclassified non-coding RNA is filed under the name fungal sp. Its description in RNAcentral is "partial internal transcribed spacer region". The stretch from base 1 to 46 matches the Rfam family "Eukaryotic small subunit ribosomal RNA", at positions 1786 to 1831 of the family's 1831-position model. The record is from RNAcentral. Lineage: Eukaryota; Fungi.
AAGUCGUAACAAGGUUUCCGUAGGUGAACCUGCGGAAGGAUCAUUACCAAUGGUUUCCAACCAUCCUAUUAGAUGUGCAUCACCCUGCUGCGUGGCACGAGGUUCAAGAGGGUGUGCGAGGCGAUGGAAGCGGAGAGGUUGCUGCUGUUCAGCAGUGUGCAACUUUCAUUUGCAACAUUAGUUCGCACGGUCUCUUCGGCCGACUGCCAUGCGACUAUUACCAUACCAAUUCACAACUAUAGUGUCGUUGAGGUACGCCACGGCGUGCCAGCCUCAGGGUAAUCUGAAACUUUUAGCAACGGAUCUCUAGGCUCUU